Molecule: ribosomal RNA, 256 nt
Filed under: uncultured bacterium
Lineage: Bacteria
Description: partial 16S ribosomal RNA
Rfam family: Bacterial small subunit ribosomal RNA
Source: RNAcentral
GUCCACGCCCUAAACGAUGAUAAUUAAGUGUUGCGCUUGUCGCAGUGCUGUAGCUAACGCGUUAAAUUAUCCACCUGAGAAGUACGGUCGCAAGAUUAAAACUCAAAGGAAUAGACGGGGACCCACACAAGCAGUGGAUCAUGUUGUUAAUCGACAAUAACGGGGACCUUACCCAGACUUGACAUCCUAGGAAUCCACUGGAAACAGAGGAGUGACUCGCAAGAGAGCCUAGAGACAGGUGCUGCAUGGUUGUCGU